ACUUUUUCCUCCUGCUGGAGGAGUCUGCGUUGCUUCCUGACCUCUUCAACCCAGGCUUUUUCAUCAUCUGAACUCUCCGAACUUUCUGCAUCACUUGGUUUUCCUUCCGGCUCUUCCUCCUCUUCCUGAGAAUAAAAAUAUGGAUUCAGAAGCCUAAAUUCUUCACUCUCUUCAUCUACUUGGAAGUCAGGGUUCUCAAACAUAACUUUAAAUCGAUCAUCGGUGAGAAUAUUAGGAAGACUCUACAAGGAGGAAAAAGCUUGGAAGCCAGAUGAAACGGCUUACUCAGAAUUGUUUGUCAAUCAGAGUAAACAGCCCUGAACACUGCUGGAAAAAGCUGACCUGUUUGUGAUGGACUCUGACUCUGCUGAACAGACUACUUUACUAUUUCUCCACUGUUGAGAGUAAACAAGAUUGCAGGCAAAUUAAUCCAAGUCAGGUCAUAAAUAAAAACCAAGUGAAGCGCUUUUCAUAGCGAAACAGUCCUAACCCGAGAAUCGGAUGCAGCAGCAUUUCCUACAGUUAACUCCAUGGAUCACUAGUCCCAAGAGAUCUUCUGAGAAAA
Homo sapiens (human) is the source of this 565-nucleotide long non-coding RNA. NCBI's taxonomy places the organism in Eukaryota, Metazoa, Chordata, Mammalia, Primates, Hominidae. The record is from Ensembl.